GAUGAACGCUGGCGGCGUGCCUAAUACAUGCAAGUCGAGCGAACGGACGAGAAGCUUGCUUCACUGAUGUUAGCGGCGGACGGGUGAGUAACACGUGGAUAAACUAUCUAUAAGACUGGGAUAAAUUCGGGAAAACGGAGCUAAUAUCGGAUAAUAUUUUGAACCGUAUGGUUCAAAAAUGAUAGAAGGUCUUGCUGUCACUUAUAGAUGGACCCGCGCUGCAUUAGCUAGUUGGUAAGGUAACGGAUUAACCAGGCAACGAUGCAUAGCCGAACUGAUAGGGUGAUCGGCCACGCUAGAACGGAGACGCGGCCCAGACUCCUACGGUAGGCAACAGUAGAGAAUCGUACACAAUGGACGAAAGCCUGACGUGGCAAAGCCGCGUGAGGUAGGAAGGGCUGCGGAUCGUAAAACUCUGUUAUUAGGGAAGAACAUAUGUGUAAGUAACUGUGCACAUCUUGACGGUACCUAAUCAGAAAGCCACGGCUAACUACGUG
Molecule: ribosomal RNA, 497 nt
Filed under: uncultured bacterium
Lineage: Bacteria
Description: partial 16S ribosomal RNA
Rfam family: Bacterial small subunit ribosomal RNA
Source: RNAcentral